Ailuropoda melanoleuca (giant panda) is the source of this 4641-nucleotide long non-coding RNA. Lineage: Eukaryota; Metazoa; Chordata; Mammalia; Carnivora; Ursidae. The record is from Ensembl.
AUGGGACGGCGGACAUUCGCUGCCCUCUCAGAGCUGCCAGCACCUCCAGCACUCAGAACCCCGCUGAUCUCAGGUGCUGAUCUCGAACACCUCCGUACCUGGCCGCCGUGCCCCGUCUGUCUCCAGGGAGCCACCGCCACCUCCCCCGGCACAAUGAGCCAGACCAGGCUGGAUCCAGGGACAUGGAUACCUGGACUCAGGUCUCAGAGAACUGGUAUGCAUUNCCUCCCCUCCCCUCUCCUCCCUUCUCCUCCCCUCUUCUCCCCUCUCCUCCUGGUGAAGCAGGCUCCAUGAUCCCAGUUUCACACACAGGACCUGUUCUAGGAUGCACCUGGGCUCACCUCCCCCCCAGAUUUGCCAGACUCUCCCAGAGGAUCCCUCAGGAAUGGGCCCUGAGCCUAGGAACCAGAGCUGGUGUGCAGAACCAGCCACAUAAUUAGUGGGGCCUAGGGCAAAAUGAAAAUGCAAGAAGGUCCCUUGUUCAAAAACUAUUAAAAAUGUCAAGGGGGGGAGCGUCUGGCUGGCUCAGUUGGAAGAACAGGUGACUCCUGAUCUCAGGGUCAUGAGUUUGAGCCCCACUUUGUGUGUAGACAUUACUUACAAAUAAAUAAACUUAAAAAAAAAAAAAAAAAGACUGUCAAGAUGGUGACAAUAGAGCAUUGAACUAAUGCUGGGCCCUGGGUGACUGCAUGGGUUGUAUACUCACAAACCCGCCCCACCCAGCUGGCAAGUCCUAGACACCAAGCAAGGAGUCUUCCGGGACAGAGUCUACCUGUUCCCUCCAUCAGGGUUCAUCUGUUGGCCUCUCCCCAUGCCGGCCACCUCUGGGGGCACUUUCCUAACCACCCUUCAACACAAACGGAGCUGGGAAUUUUCAGGCCCACCAGAUAUCGCAUGGAGGGAUGUGUCCAGUGCUUUCCCAUCAAAGUGCCCAAAUCACAGGAUACUUUCAGAAAUGUUCAUUUAUGCAAAUGCUGGAUGUUUGGCUCUCUAUUUUCAGCUGAAGAACACUUGCUCUUGAAAAAAUAUAUAAGGGACAUCUCUGUAAGAUGAUGAAAUGUGAAAUGUAGCAGCUGAUUGAUGAGGGUUUGGCACGAAUCAACACUCAAGCAAUAUAUAAGAACAAAAGUCAAGGGUGUGUUUGCAGCCUCUUAAGGUCUAUGUCACACCCAUGGUACAUCUCAUUCUGCCCUCAGGGAACCAGGGGAGGGAGCCUCUGCCUCAGCCCAUUGGGUUCACCUUCACCCAGGAUCAGGCCCUGCAGUGGGGACGAUGGUGAAAGACCUCCCCCGCCUGGGAGCUCCCCAAGGGUCAGCUGGGCCUGAAGCCCUACUUCUCCCUCUUCCUGCUUUUGCCACCUUCCGGACCCUUCCGCGGUUGUGACCCCAGGAGACCUCCCUGAUAAACUUCCUGUACACUAGUCUAUGAAGUCUCUCACCCACCGGAGGCACCCAUCGGCCCCUCCCACCUCUUUAACCGGCCUAUGACAGUUGUUCUUUCAUUCAUUCAACAAAUCUUCACUGAAGGCCUACUAUGCACCAGAUGCAGUCCUAAGUCCUGGGGGUAAAGCAGAAUAAGGCAGGCAAAUACCUCGGCCUUCAUGGAGCAGACAUAGAGCAACCAAAAAUACAAUGCAGUAAUACCAAACUUUGAAGUUCUAUUAAAAACAACACCAGAAUGACACAAUAGAGAAUAUCUGAUCUGAGCUGGGAGCAGCUACUUUAUUUUUUAUUUUUUUUUUAAGAUUUUAUUUAUUUAUUUGACAGAGAUAGAGACAGCCAGUGAGAGAGGGAACACAAGCAGGGGGAGUGGGAGAGGAAGAAGCAGGCUCAUAGCAGAGGAGCCUGAUGUGGGGCUCGAUCCCAUAACGCCGGGAUCACGCCCUGAGCUGAAGGCAGACGCUUAACCGCUGUGCCACCCAGGCGCCCCUGGGGGCAGCUACUUUAGAUCAAACUUCCUCUGGGUCAAGGAAGGUCUCUCUGAGGAGGCAACAAGAGGCCAGGCACUCACCAGUUUGAAGGAGAAGCAUCAACCAGGCAAGUUCAAAGGCUCUUAGGUAGGACGUUGGGAUGUUGGGUUCAUAGGAACAAAUGGUGAGUCUAGAAUAAAGCGAGUAAUGGGAGAUGAGGUCAGAGGCAAGGCCAGAUGAUGCAGGGCCUGGAAGAAUAAUCCAGAAGAAUCCAAGUUUUAUUCCGAGUGAGGUGGGAGCCAUGGGGCAGUUUUAAGCAGGGCAAUUAUGGCAAUUACCUGUUUAGAGCCUCACAAUGGCUACUGGGCAGAGACGACUCACCAUGUGUAUCACCUGCUGUUUGGCACAUGUUUGCCCUUUGGCCUGAUCGCAACUAACUGGGGUUUGUGCAAUAGCCUUUCUGCUCCUUGAGGUUGGAGGCCAGUCCUGGGACUUGUUUGGAUCCCCCAAGCGCCUUGCACUGAGUGGGUGCUCAAUAAAUAUUUACAGGUCAACCAGCAGACCCUUCCGUGUCUGCAAUGAUCUUCUGGAGUCUUACUUCUCAGACCAGAAUCAGUGCCACCUGGAAGCUUAGAGGAAAGGUAGAAUCCCUGAAUCAGAAUCUGUAAUUUAGUAAGAUCCCCCAGAAAUGCAGAUGCAUGUAAAGUUUGAGAAGCACUUCCAGAAAGUAGAGUAACUGGAGGGCCAGACAAGGAGGAGGGGAGAGUGGGAGGUGAGCCAGGAGGUGAACCCAGGUGCACACAGUGGGGUCACUUGGGGAGUCUCCCUUAAAAGUUGCAACCACCCUGAGUUACUGAGUCUGAGAGGAGCUGGACCAGUAAUAAAGCUAAUACUUAUUUUGGUGCUUUCUAUGUGUCAGACACUGGUUUCUCAAUCUUUUACACGCAUAAACUAAUUCAGUCUUCACGACAGCCCUAUAAAGCGGGACUAUUACAACCACCAUGCCCAUUUUGCAGAUGAAGAAACCGAGGCCCCGUGAGGUUGAGGUUAUUCCAGAAUCUUCGGCAGGUACACGCGCAUUUGGCCGUACCUGGCGGUUAGAGCAGGGCCUGUGCUGAUUGGUCGCUGCCUGCCCUACGGAUUAUUCAAUGUUUCGAACGUCGCCCUGGUUACGGUGCUGGAUGGAAGAGGCAGGAUCCAGAUCAGCCCACCGCGCUCGAGCCGAACUCCAAACCACGAUCCUCUAUCCAUCCAGCGCUAUCACCACCCAGAAACAGCACACCUCAGGGACAAGUGUUUUGCAAGCUAUAAAACCCAGUAUGAAUGCUAAGUGCGUAGAUUCCUCCGGGGCAGAAGUGAGAGAAGCCUGUUAAAGCUGCAAAAGCUGGGCCGCCAGAGGUCAGAGGAGAGACUGCUGUGGAGAAGCAGCAUUUUUUCUGCUUGUUCCAAGGGGGAAGUGAAUCAGAAGGAAAGGCCUCCCAGAGUGGCGCCCCCACGAUCAGCCCUAGGGAGGCUCUAACUUGCCAGAUACCCUCAGGCUCUAAUCAUGCUGCCUGGGCGUGUCUUCAAGGACUGACGGGACCCUCCUGAUAUUGACCACUAGAGGGCGCUGCUCCCCAGCCUUCGCCCUUCUGGACCCCACCUGCUCACAAGAAACUAGGACUUGGAGGAAGUCCUAGCGAGCAAGCACCGGGGACUUUGAGAAGUGGAAAAGGGGGGAAGGCAAGAUGGAAGGGGGACUUAUACAUCCUUUCAAUCCCCAAAACACUGGUGCUGGCGCUCAUGUUCCCAUUUUACAGAUGAGGAAUCUGAAGUCCAAAGAUGUUGGACAAGAUCCCCCAAACCAGGAAGCUGGGCAGAGACAGAGCUGGAUCAUCUGAUUCCAGUCUCAGUUAGCAAGGGGACCGCAGGUAGAUGUCAGCUCGUCUGACCCGGUCAUGUUGCUGGUGUCCCUGCUUCUGUUGACCCUGUGUUCUGAGUGGAAGCCAGAACCUUUAUCUUGCUGUAUUUCCCUACUGUGUUCCAGCAACAGUUCCAACAGCCAGCGCUCAUAAAAAUGGCCCCUUCUUGAAACUUUUGAAGUCAUGGUCUCCUGCUUCAUUGCCCUCUGGCCUUCACGGACCCCCUCCUGCCACCCCAAUACAGCGGCCUCCAAUUCUGGCAGAUUCUGGGGUCUCCUCUAGUCCUUGGCCCUUCUACAUCCCUUCCCCACCCUAGGGACCCCACGGGUUUAGGCUCUGCCCCCUGACGGCCCACGGCAGGGAGCAGCACAAAUAAACAAGGGGACAUUUGAACCAAGAAGAGUCUGUGGUUGGGGCCAAAGACUUUUUUCUCGGCUCCCACCAACUCCUUUUAUGGCCUCUGGGUCCAGUUCCUUCUUCAUAACAAGUCAGAGCUGGAAAAGGCCUCAGGAGUCACCAGGUCCAACUUGAGCCAACACUUUCCUUUUCUACAUAAAAACCCCCGCGGCCCGCCAGUCUGCAGCCAGGUUCGCAAGUCUAGCUAGGCCAGGGCAGGAAGCGACCGGCACUGGAGGGAAACUCCAGUCCCGGGCGGAACCUAGGCACGUCGUUGGCCCAGGUGGCCCAGGCCCCGCACCUGCAAUAAGGCGUGGGGGUGGGGGCCCAACCGCCGCUUCGGCUAAGGCCCCGCCCCCAGCUUCUGAGCCUCUGUAUCUAAACGCCGGGACCGCCCUAACGAACGUCUGUUUCGGCCCCCCUCGGAUCCUUCCC